Non-coding RNA from Misgurnus anguillicaudatus (oriental weatherfish), 415 nucleotides. NCBI's taxonomy places the organism in Eukaryota, Metazoa, Chordata, Actinopteri, Cypriniformes, Cobitidae. The record is from RefSeq and is a predicted model, not a curated record.
CGUAAAACAGCCUCGACUUCCCAGUUGGCUCUGCAGCAAAAGAGAGGGUGGCACCAUUUGGGUUAAGUUUAUGUUUGCCGAACGUGAUAAAAACGUGACGAAAAAGAAGCAGGCAAUGUUUACCGUUUGUUAAGCUAUUUAUCGAUCAAUAUUAUUUAUCGCGGAUUCUGGAAUAAUUUCAGAAAUUAUUUUUUAAGCACGGAGAACACGGAAGUGCUAUGCUGCUUUAAAGUUUGUAACUGUUAGUCGCAAGUUAGAGUUUUUGCAAACGUUUCCAAAAACAAAUAACGUUACCUCGUUCAUUGCCAUGAAGACUGUUUUGAAGUGGAUUGUUUGGCUAAUAUUAGUGACACUGUUUCCUGAAGGAAUAUUCUCUCAGAGUGUUUCAGUAUUGGUAAACCAGCGAGAUACACUC